This 171-nucleotide non-coding RNA is filed under the name bovine gut metagenome. Its description in RNAcentral is "Lysine riboswitch". It matches the Rfam family "Lysine riboswitch aptamer". From Rfam's summary of the family: Riboswitches are metabolite binding domains within certain messenger RNAs that serve as precision sensors for their corresponding targets. Allosteric rearrangement of mRNA structure is mediated by ligand binding, and this results in modulation of gene expression. This family includes riboswitches that sense lysine in a number of genes involved in lysine metabolism, including lysC. The record is from RNAcentral.
UUUGAUAGAGGUUGCGCGUCUUAUGAGUAGGCUGCCGGAUGUGCCCGUACACAGGGGAAGGCUGGUGAAAGGAAGAAGCGCCGAAGGUUUGCCGCGAUCGGGAGCGGUCAGGCCUGGGGGCAGGUCGAACAGGCUUGCAACUGUCAUCAUGCACGUGAUGGAGCGCUAUUU